AGGUUUGGCUGGCGAUUAGAAGAAGGCCAUGAAAGAUGGGAAGCCAAUUAUUAUUGAGGGAAUACAUUUGGAUCCAAGCAUUUAUCUUAUGGAUGAGGAAAAGAGAGAUGAUAAUUCCAGGACAGGGAAAACGAUACCGGAUUCUAAAAAUUCAGGCAUCUCUGUAGAAAGGAAGACAGAACA
Molecule: long non-coding RNA, 183 nt
Organism: Panicum virgatum (switchgrass)
Lineage: Eukaryota; Viridiplantae; Streptophyta; Magnoliopsida; Poales; Poaceae
Exons: 2
Source: RefSeq, a predicted model, not a curated record